This 1064-nucleotide ribosomal RNA is filed under the name Escherichia coli. RNAcentral's name for it is "partial 23S ribosomal RNA". It matches the Rfam family "Bacterial large subunit ribosomal RNA", at positions 1 to 1096 of the family's 2925-position model. Lineage: Bacteria; Pseudomonadati; Pseudomonadota; Gammaproteobacteria; Enterobacterales; Enterobacteriaceae. The record is from RNAcentral.
GGGUUGUGAGGUUAAGCGACUAAGCGUACACGGUGGAUGCCCUGGCAGUCAGAGGCGAUGAAGGACGUGCUAAUCUGCGAUAAGCGUCGGUAAGGUGAUAUGAACCGUUAUAACCGGCGAUUUCCGAAUGGGGAAACCCAGUGUGUUUCGACACACUAUCAUUAACUGAAUCCAUAGGUUAAUGAGGCGAACCGGGGGAACUGAAACAUCUAAGUACCCCGAGGAAAAGAAAUCAACCGAGAUUCCCCCAGUAGCGGCGAGCGAACGGGGAGGAGCCCAGAGCCUGAAUCAGUGUGUGUGUUAGUGGAAGCGUCUGGAAAGGCGCGCGAUACAGGGUGACAGCCCCGUACACAAAAAUGCACAUGCUGUGAGCUCGAUGAGUAGGGCGGGACACGUGGUAUCCUGUCUGAAUAUGGGGGGACCAUCCUCCAAGGCUAAAUACUCCUGACUGACCGAUAGUGAACCAGUACCGUGAGGGAAAGGCGAAAAGAACCCCGGCGAGGGGAGUGAAAAAGAACCUGAAACCGUGUACGUACAAGCAGUGGGAGCAUGCUUAGGCGUGUGACUGCGUACCUUUUGUAUAAUGGGUCAGCGACUUAUAUUCUGUAGCAAGGUUAACCGAAUAGGGGAGCCGAAGGGAAACCGAGUCUUAACUGGGCGUUAAGUUGCAGGGUAUAGACCCGAAACCCGGUGAUCUAGCCAUGGGCAGGUUGAAGGUUGGGUAACACUAACUGGAGGACCGAACCGACUAAUGUUGAAAAAUUAGCGGAUGACUUGUGGCUGGGGGUGAAAGGCCAAUCAAACCGGGAGAUAGCUGGUUCUCCCCGAAAGCUAUUUAGGUAGCGCCUCGUGAACUCAUCUCCGGGGGUAGAGCACUGUUUCGGCAAGGGGGUCAUCCCGACUUACCAACCCGAUGCAAACUGCGAAUACCGGAGAAUGUUAUCACGGGAGACACACGGCGGGUGCUAACGUCCGUCGUGAAGAGGGAAACAACCCAGACCGCCAGCUAAGGUCCCAAAGUCAUGGUUAAGUGGGAAACGAUGUGGGAAGGCCCAGACAGCCAG